This 253-nucleotide ribosomal RNA is filed under the name uncultured bacterium. RNAcentral's name for it is "partial 16S ribosomal RNA". It matches the Rfam family "Bacterial small subunit ribosomal RNA", at positions 524 to 776 of the family's 1533-position model. The record is from RNAcentral.
UACGGGGGGGGCAAGCGUUGUUCGGAAUUAUUGGGCGUAAAGAGCUCGUAGGCGGUUUGUCGCGUCUGCUGUGAAAACCCGAGGCUCAACCUCGGGCCUGCAGUGGGUACGGGCAGACUAGAGUGCGGUAGGGGAGAUUGGAAUUCCUGGUGUAGCGGUGGAAUGCGCAGAUAUCAGGAGGAACACCGAUGGCGAAGGCAGAUCUCUGGGCCGUAACUGACGCUGAGGAGCGAAAGCAUGGGGAGCGAACAGG